UCGAUGUCAUCAUCACUUUCAGCAUCAGA
This 29-nucleotide small RNA is filed under the name Bombyx mori (domestic silkworm). RNAcentral's name for it is "ovarian small RNA-28498". The record is from RNAcentral. Lineage: Eukaryota; Metazoa; Arthropoda; Insecta; Lepidoptera; Bombycidae.